This 492-nucleotide ribosomal RNA is filed under the name uncultured bacterium. RNAcentral's name for it is "partial 16S ribosomal RNA". It matches the Rfam family "Bacterial small subunit ribosomal RNA", at positions 29 to 507 of the family's 1533-position model. The record is from RNAcentral.
AGUGAACGCUGGCGGUAGGCCUAACACAUGCAAGUCGAACGGCAGCACAGUAAGAGCUUGCUCUUACGGGUGGCGAGUGGCGGACGGGUGAGGAAUACAUCGGAAUCUACUUUUUCGUGGGGGAUAACGUAGGGAAACUUACGCUAAUACCGCAUACGAUCUACGGGUGAAAGCAGUGGAUCUUCGGACCUUGCGCGAUUGAAUGAGCCGAUGUCGGAUUAGCUAGUUGGCGGGGUAAAGGCCCACCAAGGCGACGAUCCGUAGCUGGUCUGAGAGGAUGAUCAGCCACACUGGAACUGAGACACGGUCCAGACUCCUACGGGAGGCAGCAGUGGGGAAUAUUGGACAAAGGGCGCAAGCCUGAUCCAGCCAUACCGCGUGGGUGAAGAAGGCCUUCGGGUUGUAAAGCCCUUUUGUUGGGAAAGAAAAGCAGCAGGUUAAUACCCCGCUGUUCUGACGGUACCCAAAGAAUAAGCACCGGCUAACUUCGUG